CGAAAAUACCCUCUUUUAUUUUCCUUCCUCUUUUCUUCUUUUUUUCCUUUUCUUCUUUUUCCUUUUCUUCAACCCGAAGACAGAAGGCCGUUCAAAAGAAAAACGUAAACCAGAGCCUUUGAACUCUCCCGCGUCUGCAGUUACCCCCUUCAACUCUCUCCCGCCUCCGGUGAACGUUUUUCUCUUCCGUCCAUUUCUUCUCCACUUCCAUCCAUUUCUUCUCCACGACUCUCCGCUAUAUUUUCCGAUUUCAACUUGUUCACGGAACGUCUCCAUUUCUUCUGCACGGGUCUCUGUUUUACUUUCGACUUCAUCUCCGGCGGACGCUUCUCCACUUCCAUCCAUUUCGAUUUCAGGUUUGUUUUCACCGGACCUCUCCAUUUCUUAUCCACUCCUCUACAUUGGCAGUGCCGUAUCCAUCAUCUUUGAAGUCAAGUUUCAGUAUGGCUUCGACAUCAACUAACGGUGCCAAAUUUGCUCGAUGCUACUGGAUUCUUUGUUAGGAGAGGCGGAUCAUCAACACACAAGGAACCUUGGCCACUUGUCAUUGUCGACUCCAUUCCACUUCAACGCAACAAUAGUGAUUGUGGUGUAUUUACAAUUAAGUAUUUCGAAUAUGAAGCUUCUGGUUUAGAUGUAGCUACAUUAUGUCAAGAAAACAUGUCAUAUUUUAGAAAACAAUUGGCAUUUCAAUUAUGGACCAA
Long non-coding RNA from Cucumis sativus (cucumber), 704 nucleotides. RefSeq lists it as uncharacterized. The record is from RefSeq and is a predicted model, not a curated record. NCBI's taxonomy places the organism in Eukaryota, Viridiplantae, Streptophyta, Magnoliopsida, Cucurbitales, Cucurbitaceae. The transcript is spliced from 2 exons.